GUUGGCUACGGUGAUAUUUGUCCCACCACCCCUUUAGGGAAAGUUGUAGGCACGGUGUGCUGCAUCUGUGGAGUGCUUGUCAUCGCUCUGCCCAUUCCCAUCAUUGUGAACAAU
Molecule: non-coding RNA, 114 nt
Organism: Stegodyphus mimosarum
Lineage: Eukaryota; Metazoa; Arthropoda; Arachnida; Araneae; Eresidae
Source: Rfam